This 846-nucleotide ribosomal RNA is filed under the name Staphylococcus sp. NIOCR26. RNAcentral describes it as "bacterial SSU rRNA". It matches the Rfam family "Bacterial small subunit ribosomal RNA", at positions 44 to 872 of the family's 1533-position model. Lineage: Bacteria; Bacillati; Bacillota; Bacilli; Caryophanales; Staphylococcaceae. The record is from RNAcentral.
GUGCUAAUACAUGCAAGUCGAGCGAACAGAUAAGGAGCUUGCUCCUUUGACGUUAGCGGCGGACGGGUGAGUAACACGUGGGUAACCUACCUAUAAGACUGGAAUAACUCCGGCAAACCGGGGCUAAUGCCGGAUAACAUAUAGAACCGCAUGGUUCUAUAGUGAAAGAUGGUUUUGCUAUCACUUAUAGAUGGACCCGCGCCGUAUUAGCUAGUUGGUAAGGUAAUGGCUUACCAAGGCGACGAUACGUAGCCGACCUGAGAGGGUGAUCGGCCACACUGGAACUGAGACACGGUCCAGACUCCUACGGGAGGCAGCAGUAGGGAAUCUUCCGCAAUGGGCGAAAGCCUGACGGAGCAACGCCGCGUGAGUGAUGAAGGGUUUCGGCUCGUAAAACUCUGUUAUUAGGGAAGAACAUAUGUGUAAGUAACUGUGCACAUCUUGACGGUACCUAAUCAGAAAGCCACGGCUAACUACGUGCCAGCAGCCGCGGUAAUACGUAGGUGGCAAGCGUUAUCCGGAAUUAUUGGGCGUAAAGCGCGCGUAGGCGGUUUCUUAAGUCUGAUGUGAAAGCCCACGGCUCAACCGUGGAGGGUCAUUGGAAACUGGGAAACUUGAGUGCAGAAGAGGAAAGUGGAAUUCCAUGUGUAGCGGUGAAAUGCGCAGAGAUAUGGAGGAACACCAGUGGCGAAGGCGACUUUCUGGUCUGUAACUGACGCUGAUGUGCGAAAGCGUGGGGAUCAAACAGGAUUAGAUACCCUGGUAGUCCACGCCGUAAACGAUGAGUGCUAAGUGUUAGGGGGUUUCCGCCCCUUAGUCGCUGCAGCUAACGCAUAAGCACUCCGC